RNAcentral lists this ribosomal RNA (197 nucleotides) under uncultured bacterium. RNAcentral's name for it is "partial 16S ribosomal RNA". It matches the Rfam family "Bacterial small subunit ribosomal RNA", at positions 328 to 539 of the family's 1533-position model. The record is from RNAcentral.
ACGCUCGACACCUACGGGAGCAGCAGUGGGGGAUAUUGCACAAUGGGGGAAACCCUGAUGCAGCGACGCCGCGUGGAGGAAGAAGGUCUUCGGAUUGUAAACUCCUGUUGUUGGGGAAAAAGAGGAUGGUACCCAACAAGGAAGUGACGGCUAACUACGUGCAAGCAGCCGCGGUAAUCUGAGCGGGCUGGCAAGGC